RNAcentral lists this long non-coding RNA (663 nucleotides) under Macaca mulatta (Rhesus monkey). RNAcentral describes it as "lncRNA (ENSMMUG00000059265.1)". Lineage: Eukaryota; Metazoa; Chordata; Mammalia; Primates; Cercopithecidae. The record is from RNAcentral.
UAGACACCACCAAUUCUCUGAGUAUCUUCCUUCUUGAUCUCCUGGGUGGUCAUUGAAUGAGUCAGAUGUCCUUUACUAAUAUCUAACUCAUUUUUCCUUUUGUGAAUGACUAUUCUCUCUCUCUCUCUUUUUUUUUUUUUUCCUGUUGCUAGUUACUCCAGCUAUUUUGCAGUGCCAAAUUAAGCUACUAGGGGCUGUCUGGUAAAGGAGUGUGCAGAGAGUACUGUCCCUCACCAGACUGCGCUCCUUCAUUUCACAAUCACUUUUGAAACCCUCCUAUGUGCAGGUAUUGUGCCAAGUGUUGGGAGUAUCCAGAGCCCUUGCUCUCCUGGAGUCUAUACUCUAGUAUCUUUCUCUUACACUAGACCAGUGAAAAAAAAGACAUCUGGGUUUCUACUUACUCCUAGGUGUGAGCCUGUGCCCUGCUACUUAGUAACAAGCCAUCAAACCUCUGGGACCUUGGUUUCCUCACCAGUAAAAGCAAGGAUAAUAAGACCUUAACAGCAUUGUUGUAAGUAUUAAGUGUCAUCCUAUACAUAAAUAUAAUCUGCAUGUGCAAGUAUAAGGUAUUAUUUCUAUUGACUCUCAUACAGAUUCCUUCCCCCCACUUUUUGUUUUUGAUUAUCUCUUUAAUUGAGUCAAAAACGUUUUACCUAUUUGAAC